GACUUUUUUGAAUGGUCGGGAGUGCAAGUAUUUGGAGGAGAGGGACGAAGCUCGCAAGGAAUUGCCUCUGUUGCAGCGGAGGUUGGCAGAAUCCGAGGCCUCCUGCGAGGUGUUCAGGGAGGAGCGUAAGACCCUCUCGGCCAACCUUAAGGAAGCGGAGGAUAGGCUCAAGACGGUUUCGGAGGAGAGGGACAGUGCUGUGCAGAAGGUUGAGGAGCAGAAGGCUAUGAUUGGCGAGUUGACGGGGAAGUUGGAGANNNNNNNNNNNNUCAAUUCACCGGGGUUGUUGAAGAUCGGGAGAAGGAGCUCGACCCUCAAGGGGAGUAUGCUUCCUCCUCUCGCGCUGAUCUGAUCGCCAAGAUCCAGGAGCUUGAGUCCAACAUGGUGGCUGCUGCAGCCUUUAGUUUUAACAACGCAGUGGCUCAACUCAGGAUUCUCAACCCCGGUUUGAUCGAGGAGGG
This 461-nucleotide long non-coding RNA is filed under the name Trifolium pratense (red clover). RNAcentral describes it as "long non-coding RNA (TPRA_LNC014224)". The record is from RNAcentral. Lineage: Eukaryota; Viridiplantae; Streptophyta; Magnoliopsida; Fabales; Fabaceae.